Molecule: non-coding RNA, 3445 nt
Organism: Physcomitrium patens
Lineage: Eukaryota; Viridiplantae; Streptophyta; Bryopsida; Funariales; Funariaceae
Source: RefSeq, a predicted model, not a curated record
AUGCCCCCACUCACUCUCUCACUCGCUCCGUUCUCCCUCUCGCUCUUGCAUUGCCAUUCCCCGCUCUCCACGAUCUACGCAGCUCCCCACCCCAACCCCCGCCCCGAUACUUCUCCGUUAUUGGUGAGGAGACAAGGAGGGGUUGAUUGGGUGUGGGUGAUGGGGCGGGGCUGAUUGCGGAGGUUCGUUUGCAGUGAGUGUAUUCCAGGUUGCGUUGCGGGUGCAGUUAGGUUAUUGAAGAUGAGCCGAUUUGAUGGCCGAUAUGGCGAUCCUUCGUCGUUUCGCGACAGGAAGAGUGACUUUGGAGGAGGUGGAGGAGGAUACGGUGGGGGAGGAGGUUAUGGCGGUGGUGGCAAAGGGGGCGGUGGAUACGGUGGACGAGGAGGAGGCGGGCGAGGAGGUUAUGGUGGGAGCAGCAAGCGUGAUUUGGACGACAUAGCGUUGCCAGCGCAGGAGUUCGAAAACCUAAUUCCAUUCGAGAAGAAUUUCUACGUGGAGCAUCCGGCCGUGUCUGCUUUGACCGAGGAGGAGGUUGCAGCUUACAGGCGAAAGCGAGAAAUAACUGUGGAAGGUCGGACCGUUCCUAAGCCCGUCCGCACGUUCGAGGAGGCGUCAUUUCCAGAUUAUGUGCUGCAUGAGGUGCUGAAGGCAGGGUUCACGGAGCCAACAGCUAUUCAAGCGCAAGGCUGGCCCAUGGCUUUGAAGGGGCGCGACUUGAUCGGGCUGGCAGAAACCGGGUCCGGAAAAACACUGGCAUAUCUGCUGCCGGCUAUUGUGCAUGUGAAUGCUCAACCGUAUCUGGCUCCUGGAGAUGGGCCGAUCGUGCUGGUGUUGGCCCCUACUCGUGAGUUGGCGGUGCAGAUUCAGCAAGAGUCGACGAAAUUUGGGGCGUCUUCGAAGAUCAAGAACACGUGCAUAUACGGAGGUGCCCCGAAAGGGCCACAGAUCCGCGACCUGCAGAAAGGGGUUGAGGUUGUGAUUGCAACACCGGGUCGUUUGAUUGACAUGCUGGAAGGUCGACACACGAAUUUGCGGAGAGUGACGUACUUGGUGUUGGACGAGGCCGAUCGAAUGCUGGACAUGGGGUUUGAACCGCAGAUUCGGAAGAUUGUAUCGCAGAUUCGACCAGAUCGUCAGACGCUGUAUUGGAGUGCGACAUGGCCGAAGGAAGUAGAGUUCCUUGCGAGGCAGUUUUUGAACGAUCCGUACAAGGUGACGAUUGGUUCGUCGGAUCUGAAAGCCAACCAUGCGAUAGACCAAGUUGUGGAGGUGGUGUCGGAACACGAAAAGUAUCCCAAGUUGAUCAAGCUGUUGGAAGAGAUAAUGGAUGGAAGCAGGUUGCUGGUAUUCAUGGAGACGAAACGCGGGUGCGAUCAGGUGACGCGGCAGCUGAGAAUGGACGGUUGGCCUGCGCUGUCGAUCCAUGGCGACAAGUCCCAGGCAGAGAGGGACUGGGUUUUGUCGGAGUUCAAAGCUGGGAAGAGUCCUAUCAUGACGGCCACUGAUGUCGCUGCGCGUGGUUUGGGUAUGUGCGGGAGAGGAUUUGAUAUGAAGCGUUGCGUGCGAUUGGUUGGGAGGGAAGGGUGCGUUGGGUUUGUGUCGUGAAUGGAGAUGGAAGGCGUGUGUGUUGGUUUUGGCAGUGGCUUGGUUGUGUCGUAAUCGAGUGACUGUGUUGGAGGUGGCGUCAGGCCAGAGAUCGGGUGGUGGAUGUUCGUGGCGUGGGUGUCACAUGUGUCGAGGUCGAGGUCGUGGUUGUGCAAAUUGGAAGUGGAAGGGACUUGCUGUGAUGUGCUGGGGGUGGUGGUCGGUCGUGUCGUUCGUGGAUGACGUUGCAGUGCAGUGAGCGAUGGCGCGGAUGGUAUUUGGGUUUGUUGCGCAAAGCACGUGUGUGGUGUGAGGGCUUGGGAGAUGGUGGUGGCAGUUCAGUGGAGAAUGUGUUGGGACGGUGUGGAUGUUGUGGCACGGAGACUGGGAGUCGGGUGGGGCAAGUUGGUACAUCCGGUGGGAACGAUGCGUAAGGAGCGUGUGUGGGAGGGAGUCGGUCCCGAUGGGUGUGACUGGGGUCGGAGGUGUGUGUGAUGCAUGGGGAAGUCGCGUGCGUCGUGUGAAUCGGUCAUGUAGGGCUCAUGUGGUGGUGGGGGGGAGUCGAAGUCGUAGAAGAAUGGUGGGGCGGCUCCGGCGGGGCGUUGGAGGCGCCCGGGGAAAGAGCAGCGAGUAGGGGUGUGAGGGAAGCGGGAGCGUGUUGAGUUGUGGGGUGUGGGAGGAGUUGGUGGAAGGAAUGGAGGUAAGCGGGGUGCGUGUGGUUGGGGCGUCGAGCAGGGGCACGGUGUUGGAGGUGGUGGGUUGAUGUGGUUUGAAGUGUGAUGUGUGGUAUGGCGGGGAUUUGGUGUGCGUGGGCGUACGAUGUGGAAUGGUGGGUUGAGUGGUAGGAUCUAACAUGGUGAGGUAGGAUGAGUGAGCAGUGGAAAAUGGGAGUGGGAGAAUGGGGUGCGGUGUCUUUGUUGUUCUGCAGGGUGCGUGAGAAUGCGGGCGGGCUGUAGGCCAGCUGGCAUCCUGAUGGCAUGAUAGUGGCGUGGCGGCGGUUCUUGAUGCUCUUAUUAAUUUUUUUCUGUGGGAAGGAAGAAAGGGGCAGUGCAUGGGAGUGCGAAAGAGAGACACUGCCGCCGCCACGGCGACGCUCCACACCUGCUUUUUUGGAUCGCUGGCUUACUGUGUGCAGCCCGGUCGCCACACUCAUUCAUCCGGUGCAGACACCGCGUUGUGUGGUCUAGAGCGUUGCAAGGUGGGCAUCCACAGCGCGCCCCGCGAUUGGGCGGAUGUGAUGGAUGGGACUGACGAAGACGAAGGAGGAUCGGAAGUGGGUGACGGUAGAUAAUGUGGCGGUGUUGGUUGGGAGUAGUUGAGGCGAAGGAUGGGAGUGAUGCGGAGUUGGAGAGGGUUGUGACGAACGUAAGAGCGUGGGAGGAGGGGGAGUUGGUAGCGAGCGGGAGUGAUGUGAUGUGGGGGUUGGUAGUUGAGAGGGGGUUGGAAGAUGGAUGGGGUCAGGACGGGACGGGAAGGGAGGGAGUUGGGUUAGGCGUAGGUCAGUGGGUUGGAUUGUAUUCCAUGCGUUUGGAGGGUGCGAGUUGUGAGCGACGUAAUCUAUGUUGAGCGGGGUGGUCGCGGUGAUGGUGGGAAGGAGAGCACGGCGUUGUGGGAGAAUGUGGGCGGUGGUUGUGCAGUAGAUGGCAGAGUGGGGUGCGCAGAUAGGGAACGGGGAGGAUGGUGAGAGAUUGAUGGGCGUAUGGCGCAUGGUUUUGGGUUGGUUCGGUGGUUUUUGUUUUGUAGAGCAGUGUGUUGUGGAGAGAUUCUGAACCAGUCUGAGGAAGAGUACAUGCGUGACUAGGCGAUGAGGUGGGACGAUGUGAAGGAUAUCAAGUGCGUGAUCAACUACGACUUUCCGGGU